Molecule: ribosomal RNA, 465 nt
Filed under: uncultured bacterium
Lineage: Bacteria
Description: bacterial SSU rRNA
Rfam family: Bacterial small subunit ribosomal RNA
Source: RNAcentral
CCUANGGGGGGCUGCAGCUAAGAAUCUUCCGCAAUGGGGGAAACCCUGACGGAGCGACGCCGCGUGGACGAUGAAGGCCGAAAGGUUGUAAAGUCCUUUUCUCUGUGAAGAAUAAGUGGGGGAGGAAAUGCCCGCAUGAUGACGUUAGCAGAGGAAUAAGCCCCGGCUAACUACGUGCCAGCAGCCGCGGUAACACGUAGGGGGCGAGCGUUGUUCGGAAUUAUUGGGCGUAAAGGGCGCGCAGGCGGCCGGAUAAGUCUGGUGUUUAAGGCCACAGCUUAACUGUGGUAAUGCGCUGGAAACUGUCGGGCUAGAGUGCAGGAGGGGGAGCUGGAAUUCCAGGUGUAGGGGUGAAAUCUGUAGAGAUCUGGAGGAACACCGGUGGCGAAAGCGCUCAUCUGGCCCAAUACUGACGCUGAGGCGCGAAAGCUAGGGGAGCAAACGGGAUUAGAUACCCGGNUANUC